RNAcentral lists this ribosomal RNA (301 nucleotides) under uncultured bacterium. RNAcentral describes it as "partial 16S ribosomal RNA". It matches the Rfam family "Bacterial small subunit ribosomal RNA", at positions 509 to 807 of the family's 1533-position model. The record is from RNAcentral.
CAGUAGCCGCGGUAAUACGAAGGGUGCAAGCGUUAAUCGGAAUUACUGGGCGUAAAGGGUGCGUAGGCGGUUUGGCAAGUUUGGUGUGAAAUCUUCGGGCUCAACUCGAAGUCUGCAUCGAAGACUGCCGGGCUUGAGUAUGGGAGAGGUGAGUGGAAUUUCCGGUGUAGCGGUGAAAUGCGUAGAUAUCGGAAGGAACACCUGUGGCGAAAGCGGCUCACUGGACCAUAACUGACGCUGAUGCACGAAAGCUAGGGGAGCAAACAGGAUUAGAUACCCCGGUAGUCCCUGUCUCUUAUAC